This 447-nucleotide unclassified non-coding RNA is filed under the name Athalia rosae (coleseed sawfly). Its description in RNAcentral is "misc RNA ENSAEAG00005008833.1". The record is from RNAcentral. Lineage: Eukaryota; Metazoa; Arthropoda; Insecta; Hymenoptera; Athaliidae.
AAAUUGGACAAUCGACUGCUACGAUAUACUAUGUUCAAUCGUGAUAGUAUACAACUUACUUCAAGGGACUACGUUCAUAAAACGAGCAAAAUUCUCAACUCCAUAUAGAAAUGUUCGUGAUAGAAGUUUACUCAUGGUUGGUAAGGUCACGGACAGGUUAACCGGAUCGAUGAUAUGCAAAAUUAGAAAGAAAUGAAAAGAAAAAGAAAUGCAACGUAACACGUGGCACGUGACGAUACGUUAUGGUCAAUAUAUGUAUGCGUAAUCGGAAUUUCAAUCAAGAACAUAAUUGGAAUUGAGGGUUCCAUCUGUACCAUUUCACUCUUCGGGACUCAGAAGUGGAGGGUUCAAGUUCUCGUUAAAAAAGUGAACUGCGCGGAGUUAUCUUCUCUCCUGAAUUCCGUUGAUAACUCGUCUCCCAUCCGAUCGCGUCUGCACAUCCCCGCA